This is a long non-coding RNA of Brassica napus (rape), 426 nucleotides long. RefSeq lists it as uncharacterized. The record is from RefSeq and is a predicted model, not a curated record. NCBI's taxonomy places the organism in Eukaryota, Viridiplantae, Streptophyta, Magnoliopsida, Brassicales, Brassicaceae. The transcript is spliced from 3 exons.
AGAAAAUGUCAUCACUUGCUACUACUUCCACCAUGCCCUGUGUCUUGAUGCUCCUUUGAAAAUGUCAUCACCUCACGAUGUCACUACUACUACCACCACCACCAUGCCUCAGUCGCCAUCAAGCGUAGCUGAGCUCAGCUCCGAUCAAGUUUAAAGAUGUGAUUCCUCCACAAGCGGCAUCGUGAUGAUCAACCGCAAUGCCUAAUCCACCAUCUAAAUUCGUAUAACUAUAUUAUAUUCCAAUGUUUUGUAACUUCAAAAAAAACCUGCGAUGCUUUAUACUUGAAAAAAAAAGAAAAAAAAAACUGUUCCUAGAGAAAUCUUUUGCCAUGAUUUAGUCGUUUUCUUCUAUUGUAUAAUACAAUCUAUUGGCUAUUUUGCAUCAUAAUCAAAACAUAAAGCUAGAUAGAUGGUUCUUCUAAUUAA